This 339-nucleotide unclassified non-coding RNA is filed under the name soil metagenome. RNAcentral's name for it is "partial contains 5.8S ribosomal RNA, internal transcribed spacer 2, and large subunit ribosomal RNA". The stretch from base 1 to 120 matches the Rfam family "5.8S ribosomal RNA", at positions 35 to 154 of the family's 154-position model. The record is from RNAcentral.
GAUGAAGAACGCAGCGAAAUGCGAUAAGUAAUGUGAAUUGCAGAAUUCAGUGAAUCAUCGAAUCUUUGAACGCACAUUGCGCCCGCCAGUAUUCUGGCGGGCAUGCCUGUCCGAGCGUCAUUUCAACCAUCAAGCCCCCGGGCUUGUGUUGGGGACCUGCGGCUGCCCGCAGGCCCUGAAAACCAGUGGCGGGCUCGCCGUCACACCGAGCGUAGUAGCAAUCACCUCGCUCAGGGCGUGCUGCGGGUUCCGGCCGUUAAACAGCCUUACAAAACCCAAGGUUGACCUCGGAUCAGGUAGGAAGACCCGCUGAACUUAAGCAUAUCAAUAAGCGGAGGA